CUACAAAGGCAAGCACUUUCUC
This 22-nucleotide microRNA is filed under the name Macaca mulatta (Rhesus monkey). Its description in RNAcentral is "mml-miR-524-5p". Its record names the gene mml-miR-524-5p. The record is from miRBase by way of RNAcentral. Lineage: Eukaryota; Metazoa; Chordata; Mammalia; Primates; Cercopithecidae.